Molecule: ribosomal RNA, 434 nt
Filed under: uncultured Lachnospiraceae bacterium
Lineage: Bacteria; Bacillati; Bacillota; Clostridia; Lachnospirales; Lachnospiraceae
Description: bacterial SSU rRNA
Rfam family: Bacterial small subunit ribosomal RNA
Source: RNAcentral
ACGGGAGGCAGCAGUGGGGAAUAUUGCACAAUGGGGGAAACCCUGAUGCAGCGACGCCGCGUGGGUGAAGAAGUUUUUCGGAAUGUAAAGCCCUAUCAGCAGGGAAGAUAAUGACGGUACCUGACUAAGAAGCCCCGGCUAACUACGUGCCAGCAGCCGCGGUAAUACGUAGGGGGCAAGCGUUAUCCGGAUUUACUGGGUGUAAAGGGAGCGUAGGCGGUCUGGCAAGUCUGAUGUGAAACCCCGGGGCUUAACCCCGGGCAUGCAUUGGAAACUGUCGGACUAGAGUGUCGGAGAGGAAAGCGGAAUUCCUAGUGUAGCGGUGAAAUGCGUAGAUAUUAGGAGGAACACCAGUGGCGAAGGCGGCUUUCUGGACGAUAACUGACGCUGAGGCUCGAAAGCGUGGGGAGCAAACAGGAUUAGAUACCCUGGUA